This 253-nucleotide ribosomal RNA is filed under the name uncultured bacterium. RNAcentral's name for it is "partial 16S ribosomal RNA". It matches the Rfam family "Bacterial small subunit ribosomal RNA", at positions 524 to 776 of the family's 1533-position model. The record is from RNAcentral.
UACAGAGGUCUCAAGCGUUGUUCGGAUUCAUUGGGCGUAAAGGGUGCGUAGGCGGCGCGGUAAGUCGGGUGUGAAAUCUCGGGGCUUAACUCCGAAACUGCAUUCGAUACUGCCGUGCUUGAGGACUGGAGAGGAGACUGGAAUUUACGGUGUAGCGGUGAAAUGCGUAGAUAUCGUAAGGAAGGCCAGUGGCGAAGGCGGGUCUCUGGACAGUUCCUGACGCUGAGGCACGAAGGCCAGGGGAGCAAACGGG